UUCUCCCUGAGACUUUAAGUCUCCUGAAGGAACGUUAAAGACGAUGACGUUGAUAGGCCGGGUGUGUAAGCGCAGCGAUGCGUUGAGCUAACCGGUACUAAUGAACCGUGAGGCUUAACCUUACAACGCCGAAG
Molecule: ribosomal RNA, 134 nt
Filed under: Klebsiella pneumoniae
Lineage: Bacteria; Pseudomonadati; Pseudomonadota; Gammaproteobacteria; Enterobacterales; Enterobacteriaceae
Description: partial 23S ribosomal RNA
Rfam family: Bacterial large subunit ribosomal RNA
Source: RNAcentral